UGACCAACGUACACAAGGAAGUCAUUGGAAAACGAGACGCGUCGCUUAACAUCAGAUCCGCUUCAUUCACCUUGAGGAUUCCUGUAGGAUCUUUUUGUAACAGUCACUUCAAAAAGUACUUCUGGUAUGCCUCCAGGAGCAGAAAAGCUGCAGAUAGCAAGCUCUGAAAAUCCUGCCAUACUAAAUGCACUGUGGAGCAUCUUCAACAUAUCCCAAUGUAAAAGGCUUUGCCCACCAGUCGGGCUUUGACGCAGUUGCAGUACCUACAGAAGCUGGACUUGAAUUGGUUCUCCGCGGUUUGACAAGACGUCAUGCAUGUCUUGGAGACAAUCAGGGAUCUGCUCAAGUUGUCCGAAUUGUCUCCCACAAGGACAUGGUUGGUACAGCAGGAUAACUGCAUUGUGACUGAAGUGACUGCUCAUGGAAAGAACCGAAAAGAACAUGGAACAGGUUUUGGAGACAGUCAAGGAUCUGCCGAAGUUGUCUGAACUUCCUCCCACAAUGACCUGGGUGGUACAGCUAAUUCACGGUGCAUGCAUCCGAUGUAACUUUACUAGGCACCUUUAGGAGCAAGACUCGGGUGACUGCUCUUUGAAAGGAAAAAGGACACGGAACAGGUCUUGGAGACAGUCAAGGAGCCCCCGGAGUUGUCUGAAUCUUGUCCCACAAUAAGUGUCUUGGUGGUACAGCUGGAUCACGGUGCUUGCAUCAUGGGUGUCG
Long non-coding RNA from Patiria miniata (bat star), 720 nucleotides. RefSeq lists it as uncharacterized. The record is from RefSeq and is a predicted model, not a curated record. Lineage: Eukaryota; Metazoa; Echinodermata; Asteroidea; Valvatida; Asterinidae. The transcript is spliced from 3 exons.